GAAGUGUCAACUUGGGAGCAGAAAGGGACCCUGACCCCGCCGGCCUCCCUGGGCUGGGCUCCAACCCUGCCGGCCUUGCUGACGUGCGCCCUCCGACUCCCUCCGACUCCCGCUGAUACCUUCUGACAUCCUCUGACGCCCUCCGCUGCCCUCUGUCUCCCUCCGACGCCCUCUGAUGCCCUCCGACUCCCGCUGACGCCCUCUGACAUCCUCUGACGCCCUCUGACACCCUCCGAUGCCCUUUGACGCCCUCCGACGCCCUCGGUCUCCCUCCGACGCCCUCUGACUCCCACUGACGCCCUCUGACACCCUCCGACUCCCACUGAUGCCCUCUGACUCCCGCUGACACCCUCUGACACGUGCCCUCUGACUCCUGCCGGACCUCAGGGAACGCAGCUGUUGUUCUUCGGAGCCGGCUGAAGGUCAGGGUGGUGAAGGAGCUCCGGGGAAGACCGCGGUGCACAACGGGCUGGGUGAGAAUGGCUCACGGGCUGCAGGCCUGGACAUGGAUGUCGGGAAGCAGGCCAUGCAGUACCAGGUCCUGAAUGAGGUGGUGAUUGACAGAGGCCCCUCCUCCUACCUGUCCAACGUGGACGUCUACCUGGAUGGACACCUCAUCACCACGGUGCAGGGCGACGGAGUGAUCGUGUCCACCCCGACGGGCAGCACGGCGUAUGCGGCCGCGGCCGGGGCCUCCAUGAUCCACCCCAACGUGCCGGCCAUCAUGAUCACGCCCAUCUGCCCCACUCGCUGUCCUUCCGGCCCAUCGUGGUCCCCGCAGGGGUCGAGCUGAAGGUCAGAGCCAACGACGCUCCUUUUCCGGUUUGUGAGUCAUUUGACCCCAUGCAGCACAAAGCCCGGACCUAGCGCUCGGCUCUGCCGUGCUGGCUUCAGCCUCAGACAUGGCCUCACCAUCCUAGGGCCGUCCGUGCCCUCAGAUGCAAGCCUGCCUUGCUGGUGCCCGAGAUCUGUCCACCAGGUGCCCGGGGCCCGGGUCUGAGGGG
This 1004-nucleotide long non-coding RNA is filed under the name Rhinopithecus bieti (black snub-nosed monkey). RNAcentral describes it as "lncRNA (ENSRBIG00000046625.1)". Lineage: Eukaryota; Metazoa; Chordata; Mammalia; Primates; Cercopithecidae. The record is from RNAcentral.